This 472-nucleotide RNase P RNA is filed under the name Treponema sp. RNAcentral's name for it is "partial RNase P RNA component class A". It matches the Rfam family "Bacterial RNase P class A". Rfam says of the family: Ribonuclease P (RNase P) is a ubiquitous endoribonuclease, found in archaea, bacteria and eukarya as well as chloroplasts and mitochondria. Its best characterised activity is the generation of mature 5'-ends of tRNAs by cleaving the 5'-leader elements of precursor-tRNAs. The record is from RNAcentral. Lineage: Bacteria; Pseudomonadati; Spirochaetota; Spirochaetia; Treponematales; Treponemataceae.
GCGAUGAACCAGACGAUCGCCCUGUCCGUUAAGCGCCGCAGCUUUGUUGUACCCGGUAACGCGCUUUGGGGCAGGGAGGAAAGUCCGGACUCCGCAGGGCAGGAUGCCGGCUAACGGCCGGGGUCGUCAUUUGGAAAGCGCGCUUCCGCAAGGAAGCGGCGCUUUCCAAAUGACGGGACAGAGAGCGCAGCAGAAAACAAACUACCCGGACAGGUUUUCGCCCUGAGCGAAAACCUGUCUUGUGGAAAAGGUGAAAAGGCGGGGUAAGAGCCCACCGCGGCGGCGGCAACGGCGCCGGCACUGCAAGCCUCAUCCGGAGCAAAGUCAAACAGCUGUGGCGAAGGUUUUCCUUCACGGACGGCCCGUCCGUACAUGGCGGGUAGACUGCAAGGAGCCUUUCGGUAACGAAAGGCCAAGACAGAUGAUCGUCAGGUUUUGCGUAAGGCAAAACCGACAGAAUCCGGCUUAUGGU